This 48-nucleotide non-coding RNA is filed under the name unclassified sequences. RNAcentral describes it as "SAM-SAH-Weickhmann-2018 RNA". It matches the Rfam family "SAM/SAH riboswitch aptamer". The record is from RNAcentral.
CCGUUACAACGGCUUCCUGGCGUAACGGAGUGUAGCUGCAAUGGAGCG